RNAcentral lists this long non-coding RNA (840 nucleotides) under Rattus norvegicus (Norway rat). RNAcentral describes it as "long non-coding RNA NONRATT003828". The record is from RNAcentral. Lineage: Eukaryota; Metazoa; Chordata; Mammalia; Rodentia; Muridae.
AAGAAAAGCCUUUUCUAAUGUGCACCUAUUUUGUUUUAUCCAACAAAUGUGAAUGGCUUUGUAUUUACAUGUUGUCUGGUGAAAGACUGGAGUAAUUGAUUACUAAAUUCCCCUUUAGUUUUAAUUAGAGUUGUGUGACUUUUCUUUGUAAAUGAAGCUAAGGCCAUGUUGUUUCAGGAUUUGACAUAACCUCUAAUGAUAUUUUGGACUUUUUUGGUUCUGUGCUAAGUACUAAGACAUCUUGAUUUUGGGGUAAGUUCUUAGACAUCUUGAUUUUGGGGUAAGUUCUUCUAUCCUAAGUGACAUAGUUAUGUAUGUCGAUUUGUUUCUGAUAUUUGGGAUGAGGGCUUUCAACUGUCAGGGACUACUACAGCCCUUUCCAGAAGUUGUUGCUGUCUCUCUCUCAGGUAUGGUGACUACCCGAUGCUCCCUAACCGCUCACAGCAUGAGAGGGAUCCGUGGUAUGAAUGGGACCACCCAGACCUCAGGCUGAACUGGGGUGAACCGAUACACUGGGACCUAGACAUGUACAUCAGGAAUCGUGUGGACACAUCUCCUACACCGGUUUCCUGGGAUGUCAUGUGUAGACAUCUCUUCGGCUUUGUGGCUUUCAUGGUUUUCAUGUUCUGGGUAGGGGACAUGUUCCCUUCCUACCAGCCUGUGGGUCCGAAGCAGUACCCGUACAAUAAUCUGUACCUGGAGCGAGGCGGUGAUCCUUCCAAAGAACCUGAGCCCGUGGUUCACUAUGAGAUCUGAGGAGGCUCCGUGGGCUCUCGUGCCCUCUGAAUGGGACUCCUUGUUCCUAGAGGUUUCACCUUAAUAAAAUCCCUAAUAAAGCUC